UCUACACUGGCUAUACAAACACCAUCUACUGUUUUUUUUAUUUAACAUGCACAUGGUUUGGGUAUGGACUUGAUGAUGUGAUUACCGCCCCAGUCUGAAAAGUCAUGAUUGAUUGGUAAACCUCUCUGAUCCAUACUUCUCAGAUUUAUACUUGAUGUGUGGGAAAUCCUUUUGACUGAACCUCUGAUCUUUAAUUAUUUACUGAUAUGGAUCAGUGGUGGGAAAUGAGGGUAAACUAGUUUCUGGUUGGUAUGCAAUUUAUGGCAAGUCAUGUGCAUGCUAACCGAGCUGCAGUAGUGGUAUGCUAAGGCAAAUGUGAAGUAAUUGAGAUCCGUACAUUUUGUCAGCAAGUGGCUUAAUUUUUUGCAGUGGUUAGUCAAUAGUAUGAAGUGAAUUUCAAACCCAUUGCAAUAUCUGUAAGAAAUGGUUCCAAUUUUUGCUGUAUGCUCUGUGAUGAGUGAAAAGACAAACACCCAGUUCAUAGAUUCUGUAUUACAACUGCGUAACUGGUGGUGUUUGACACUGCCAAACAUGCUUUUCCAUUUCUUUUCAGGGCUUUUGUGAUCAAAGAUGAAAUGAGUUCUACGGUUCAUGCUCUAGGACCUGCAGGUGGCUCACCAGAUAUCUUAUUAGUACUGCUGAAGAACUGAUGGGUUUUGGAAGUGCUUCAUCUUUGUGGGUGACUCGAUACAUUGCCUGUGCUGCUGUACUGCAUGUUUACUUCUAAGGUAGGUAGACAAGAUUUCAGCUAUACAAUUUAAAUUGGGUAUGGACAUGAUGACGUGAUUACCGCCCCAGACUGAGAAGUCAUGAGUGAUUGGUAACCCCUCUGAACCGUACCAUACACCUCAUACCCAUACUAAUGUUUCCUUGUGCCUCAACAUUUUGUUUUGCUUCUCUAGGCUCCCCUGAUGUCACUGGAUGCUGGUGUUUCUGCUUUUGUCCCAGUCUGUUUCAUGACUGGUUGAUAUCCCUCAAUGCUCGCUUGAUUUUUGUAGCGUCUUGUACUAUGAAUGUCAUGAUACUCUUCGUCUUCCGAAAUUAAUGUACUGGUAUGUUGGAUGCACAAGUAUUGUACAGAAUAAAUGGUUUCUCUUAAAUCUUGUCUUCAGAUCU
Triplophysa rosa is the source of this 1116-nucleotide long non-coding RNA. RefSeq lists it as uncharacterized. Lineage: Eukaryota; Metazoa; Chordata; Actinopteri; Cypriniformes; Nemacheilidae. The transcript is spliced from 4 exons. The record is from RefSeq and is a predicted model, not a curated record.